Long non-coding RNA from Drosophila obscura, 691 nucleotides. RefSeq lists it as uncharacterized. The transcript has 2 exons. Lineage: Eukaryota; Metazoa; Arthropoda; Insecta; Diptera; Drosophilidae. The record is from RefSeq and is a predicted model, not a curated record.
ACCCAGCAGGCUGGCCAGUAGCCUUGAGCAACAAAUUCGACUGAGAAUAUUCAGUUAGUCAGAUUCGUGACCGAAUCCACAACCUAGAGUCAACUACACAUUACAAAAUUGAAGCGUAGCAAAGAGCGACACGAGCGGACAACCGGACAAGAGUGCGGCGCUCAAGGCUAAGUCAGAAGACAGCGAGUUUCUGGAUGAGGGGUUCAAGGCCGUCUUUUUUGACUUGGAGGAUGAAGAAGAGGGGACCACCAGCUAUUCGAUAAGCAAUUCGCUGUCGGCAAUGCCAGGGAUUCCAGCAGCAGGCACAGAUACACAAGCUCAAGAAGAUGGUAAAAUCGAAGUCGCCCGAGCAGGACAACAUGGCCCAGCAGGCCGCAGAAACACGCAAGAAGCUGGAGGAGGAGCUGAAACGUGCGUCAGCAUGGAGCAGCAGCUGAAGCGAGCCUGUCAGGAGAAGCAGCAAUCGAAGGAUCUACCGGACACUGCGCGAAAAGUGAAAAUCGUUAGUCAUGUGCUUAUACUUCAAGUUAAUCACAUCAAAAAUUUCUUCGAUGGAGGCUGGAUGCUUGAUAUCCGACACCACUUGAACAGUGGGCACAGAGGAUUGCGAGAAUGGAGAUACAGUCAGGUUUUUGUUGUAGCGUAACUUCAUCUUGUUGCAGGUUUUAGAUUAUAUUUUACGCUUUUUCGA